This 299-nucleotide ribosomal RNA is filed under the name Bacteroidota bacterium. RNAcentral's name for it is "Bacteroidetes bacterium (freshwater metagenome) partial 16S ribosomal RNA". It matches the Rfam family "Bacterial small subunit ribosomal RNA", at positions 1 to 330 of the family's 1533-position model. The record is from RNAcentral. Lineage: Bacteria; Pseudomonadati; Bacteroidota.
UUAAGAGUUUGAUCCUAGCUCAGGAUGAACGCUAGCGGUAUGCUUAACACAUGCAAGUCGUACGGAGAAGCAAUUCUUAGUGGCGAACGGGUGAGUAACACGUGGGAAUUUGCCUUUAGGAAGAGGAUAACAUUUAGAAAUAUUUGCUAAAACUCUAUAUUGCCGUAAGGUGAAAAAAGAAAUUUGCCUAAAGAGAAGCCCGCGGCUGAUUAGCUAGUUGGUAGGGUAAUGGCCUACCAAGGCGACGAUCAGUAGCUGGUCUGAGAGGACGAUCAGCCACACUGGAACUGAGACACGGU